This 1392-nucleotide ribosomal RNA is filed under the name metagenome. Its description in RNAcentral is "bacterial SSU rRNA". It matches the Rfam family "Bacterial small subunit ribosomal RNA". The record is from RNAcentral.
GGGUGAGUAAUAUAUCGGAACGUACCAUUCAGUGGGGGAUAACGUAGCGAAAGUUACGCUAAUACCGCAUAUUCUGUGAGCAGGAAAGCAGGGGAUCGCAAGACCUUGCGCUGAUUGAGCGGCCGAUAUCAGAUUAGCUUGUUGGUGAGGUAAAAGCUCACCAAGGCGACGAUCUGUAGCGGGUCUGAGAGGAUGAUCCGCCACACUGGAACUGAGACACGGUCCAGACUCCUACGGGAGGCAGCAGUGGGGAAUUUUGGACAAUGGGGGCAACCCUGAUCCAGCCAUGCCGCGUGAGUGAAGAAGGCCUUCGGGUUGUAAAGCUCUUUCAGCCGGGAAGAAAACGCAUGGGUUAAUACCCUGUGUGGAUGACGGUACCGGAAUAAGAAGCACCGGCUAACUACGUGCCAGCAGCCGCGGUAAUACGUAGGGUGCGAGCGUUAAUCGGAAUUACUGGGCGUAAAGCGUGCGCAGGCGGUUUUGUAAGACAGGCGUGAAACCCCCGGGCUUAACCUGGGAACUGCGUUUGUGACUGCAAGGCUAGAGUAUGGCAGAGGGGGGUGGAAUUCCACGUGUAGCAGUGAAAUGCGUAGAGAUGUGGAGGAACACCAAUGGCGAAGGCAGCCCCCUGGGUCGAUACUGACGCUCAUGCACGAAAGCGUGGGUAGCAAACAGGAUUAGAUACCCUGGUAGUCCACGCCCUAAACGAUGUCAACUAGGUGUUGGGAGGGUAAAACCUUUUAGUACCGGAGCUAACGCGUGAAGUUGACCGCCUGGGGAGUACGGCCGCAAGGUUAAAACUCAAAGGAAUUGGCGGGGACCCGCACAAGCGGUGGAUGAUGUGGAUUAAUUCGAUGCAACGCGAAAAACCUUACCUACCCUUGACAUGCCAAGAACUUUCCAGAGAUGGAUUGGUGCCCGAAAGGGAACUUGGACACAGGUGCUGCAUGGCUGUCGUCAGCUCGUGUCGUGAGAUGUUGGGUUAAGUCCCGCAACGAGCGCAACCCUUGUCGUUAAUUGCCACCAUUUAGUUGGGCACUUUAACGAGACUGCCGGUGACAAACCGGAGGAAGGUGGGGAUGACGUCAAGUCCUCAUGGCCCUUAUGGGUAGGGCUUCACACGUCAUACAAUGGUCGGUACAAAGGGUCGCCAAGCCGCGAGGUGGAGCCAAUCCCAGAAAGCCGAUCGUAGUCCGGAUCGCAGUCUGCAACUCGACUGCGUGAAGUCGGAAUCGCUAGUAAUCGUGGAUCAGAAUGUCACGGUGAAUACGUUCCCGGGUCUUGUACACACCGCCCGUCACACCAUGGGAGCGGGUUCCGCCAGAAGUAGGUAGCCUAACCGCAAGGAGGGCGCUUACCACGGCGGGGUUCGUGACUGGGGUGAAGUCGGAA